This is a long non-coding RNA of Vigna unguiculata (cowpea), 401 nucleotides long. The record is from RefSeq and is a predicted model, not a curated record. NCBI's taxonomy places the organism in Eukaryota, Viridiplantae, Streptophyta, Magnoliopsida, Fabales, Fabaceae.
UUCCCUCCCUUCAUCUCAGGCAAGGUGCUCUGCUAGGGCACACCAUCCUUACGUCUUCAAGUUAGCAAAACCCCUUCUAUUCCCAGCUCUCUAAUAUAGUUCUUGGAGCCGUGGUAUUUCUGUUGCGGGUCAGUGUCGUGUUGUUAGCAUCUAAGCAAGAUGGGAAUACUUCUGGAGGUAGGCCUGAUGGUGGUAGCGGUGCAGCUUAGUGGGCUCGUUGAUGUGGCCCUCGAAGAACAAUUCUCUGGCCCUAGUGCCCCUUGUAAUCCCUAGCUCUAGGAGCUUUUCUUUUGCAUGACUGUUAACUUUUUCUUAUGUUGUGUAUGGCAUAGUAGUAUGCCCAAAUUUGUUUUCACUGUACACUUCUAGAUGACUGUAACAGUUACCUCUCCUACGUUUUA